AUACGGAGGGUGCAAGCGUUAUCCGGAUUCAUUGGGUUUAAAGGGUGCGCAGGCGGACCUGUCAGUCAGUGGUGAAAUCCCGGGGCUCAACCCCGGAACUGCCAUUGAUACUACAGGUCUUGAAUACGGUUGAAGUAGGCGGAAUGUAGCAUGUAGCGGUGAAAUGCAUAGAUAUGCUACAGAACACCGAUCGCGAAGGCAGCUUACUAAGCCGAUAUUGACGCUCAGGCACGAAAGCGUGGGGAGCGAACAGGAUUAGAAACCCCGGUAGUCC
Molecule: ribosomal RNA, 274 nt
Filed under: uncultured bacterium
Lineage: Bacteria
Description: partial 16S ribosomal RNA
Rfam family: Bacterial small subunit ribosomal RNA
Source: RNAcentral